ACCUGGCUGGCCCAGUCAGUAGAGCAUGUGACUGUUGAUCUCAGGGUUGUAAGUUCAAGUCCCAUGAUGGGUG
This 73-nucleotide transfer RNA is filed under the name Mustela putorius furo (domestic ferret). It matches the Rfam family "tRNA". Rfam says of the family: Transfer RNA (tRNA) molecules are approximately 80 nucleotides in length. Their secondary structure includes four short double-helical elements and three loops (D, anti-codon, and T loops). The record is from Rfam by way of RNAcentral. Lineage: Eukaryota; Metazoa; Chordata; Mammalia; Carnivora; Mustelidae.